RNAcentral lists this ribosomal RNA (460 nucleotides) under uncultured bacterium. RNAcentral's name for it is "partial 16S ribosomal RNA". It matches the Rfam family "Bacterial small subunit ribosomal RNA", at positions 338 to 795 of the family's 1533-position model. The record is from RNAcentral.
CCUACGGGGGGCAGCAGUGAGGAAUAUUGGUCAAUGGUCGGGAGACUGACCCAGCCAAGCCGCGUGAGGGAGGAAGGUACAGAGUAUCGUAAACUUCUUUUGUCAGGGAACAAAGGCGGGGACGUGUCCCCGGAUGAGUUUACCUGAAGAAAAAGCAUCGGCUAACUCCGUGCCAGCAGCCGCGGUAAGACGGAGGAUGCGAGCGUUAUCCGGAUUUAUUGGGUUUAAAGGGCGGGUAGGCGGGCUGUUAAGUCAGGGGUGAAAGGCCGGGGCUCAACCCCAGCACGGCGGUUGAUACUGGCAGUCUCGAGUUGGAGAGAGGUAUGCGGAAUGCGAGGUGUAGCGGUGAAAUGCAUAGAUAUCGCGCAGAACUCCGAUUGCGAAGGCAGCAUGCUGGCCCCACACUGACGCUGAGGCACGAAAGCGUGGGUAUCGAACAGGAUUAGAUACCCCUGUAGUC